UGCGGAAUGGUGUAAUUGGCAACACACUGGUUUCUGGUACCAGCAUUCUAGGUUCGAGUCCUAGUUCCGCAG
This 72-nucleotide transfer RNA is filed under the name Patulibacter medicamentivorans. It matches the Rfam family "tRNA". Rfam says of the family: Transfer RNA (tRNA) molecules are approximately 80 nucleotides in length. Their secondary structure includes four short double-helical elements and three loops (D, anti-codon, and T loops). RNAcentral also lists the same sequence under 1 other name. The record is from Rfam by way of RNAcentral. Lineage: Bacteria; Bacillati; Actinomycetota; Thermoleophilia; Solirubrobacterales; Patulibacteraceae.